This 253-nucleotide ribosomal RNA is filed under the name uncultured bacterium. Its description in RNAcentral is "partial 16S ribosomal RNA". It matches the Rfam family "Bacterial small subunit ribosomal RNA", at positions 524 to 776 of the family's 1533-position model. The record is from RNAcentral.
UACGUAGGGCGCGAGCGUUGUCCGGAAUUAUGGGGCGUAAAGAGCUCGUAGGCGGUUUGUAGCGUCGGCUGUGAAAACUGGAGGCUUAACCUUCAGCGUGCAGUCGAUACGGGCAGACUUGAGUUCGGUAGGGGAGUCUGGAAUUCCUGGUGUAGCGGUGAAAUGCGCAGAUAUCAGGAGGAACACCGGUGGCGAAGGCGGGACUCUGGGCCGAUACUGACGCUGAGGAGCGAAAGCGUGGGGAGCGAACAGG